RNAcentral lists this ribosomal RNA (440 nucleotides) under uncultured bacterium. Its description in RNAcentral is "partial 16S ribosomal RNA". It matches the Rfam family "Bacterial small subunit ribosomal RNA", at positions 338 to 795 of the family's 1533-position model. The record is from RNAcentral.
CCUACGGGAGACAGCAGUGGGGGAUAUUGCACAAUGGGGGGAACCCUGAUGCAGCGACGCCGCGUGGGUGAAGGAGCGUUUCGGCGCGUAAAGCCCUAUCGGCAGGGAAGAAGAUGACGGUACCUUACCAAGAAGCCCCGGCUAACUACGUGCCAGCCGCCGCGGUAAUACGUAGGGGGCAAGCGUUAUCCGGAUUUACUGGGUGGAAAGGGGGCGCAGACGGCAAUGCAAGCCAGGAGUGAAAGCCCGGGGCCCAACCCCGGGACUGCUCUUGGAACUGCAUGGCUGGAGUACAGGAGGGGCAGGCGGAAUUCCUAGUGUAGCGGUGAAAUGCGUAGAUAUUAGGAGGAACACCGGUGGCGAAGGCGGCCUGCUGGACUGUGACUGACGUUGAGGCCCGAAGGCGUGGGGAGCAAACAGGAUUAGAUACCCCUGUAGUC